Molecule: unclassified non-coding RNA, 203 nt
Filed under: Hevea brasiliensis (rubber tree)
Lineage: Eukaryota; Viridiplantae; Streptophyta; Magnoliopsida; Malpighiales; Euphorbiaceae
Source: RNAcentral
GUGAUUUGGAGAAGAGAGAUGAGCAUGGGUGAGGAAUAGAUAUUUAUUGGAGGGCAUUUAAGAUAUUUCAAGGUUUUUUUUUAUUAUUAUUAAUAAGUUCCAGAUGAAUUUUUAUAACUGAGAAAACGACUAUCAAAGGUAGAAGAAUUUUUGUAUUUGCUAGAUAAGAAGAUGAAAUGGUUGGGGUUUUGGGGAAGAAAAGG